AGAGUUUGAUUAUGGCUCAGGAUGAACGCUGGCGGCGUGCUUAACACAUGCAAGUCGAACGGAGAGAUACGCCGAUUGAAGCUUCGGCAGAAAUCAUGUAUCUCUUAGUGGCGGACGGGUGAGUAACGCGUGGGUAACCUGCCUUAUACCGGGGGAUAACACUUAGAAAUAGGUGCUAAUACCGCAUAAGCGCACGACACCGCAUGGUGAUGUGUGAAAAACUCCGGUGGUAUAAGAUGGACCCGCGUCUGAUUAGUUAGUUGGUGAGGUAACGGCCCACCAAGACGACGAUCAGUAGCCGGCCUGAGAGGGUGAACGGCCACAUUGGGACUGAGACACGGCCCAAACUCCUACGGGAGGCAGCAGUGGGGAAUAUUGGACAAUGGGGGAAACCCUGAUCCAAGCGACGCCGCGUGAGUGAAGAAGUAUUUCGGUAUGUAAAGCUCUAUCAGCAGGGAAGAUAAUGACGGUACCUGACUAAGAAGCCCCGGCUAACUACGUGCCAGCCGCCGC
RNAcentral lists this ribosomal RNA (513 nucleotides) under uncultured bacterium. RNAcentral describes it as "bacterial SSU rRNA". It matches the Rfam family "Bacterial small subunit ribosomal RNA", at positions 8 to 518 of the family's 1533-position model. The record is from RNAcentral.